This 439-nucleotide ribosomal RNA is filed under the name uncultured bacterium. RNAcentral's name for it is "partial 16S ribosomal RNA". It matches the Rfam family "Bacterial small subunit ribosomal RNA", at positions 339 to 795 of the family's 1533-position model. The record is from RNAcentral.
CUACGGGGUGCUGCAGUGGGGAAUUUUGCGCAAUGGCGGAAACCCUGACGCAGCGAUACCGCGUGAGUGAAGAAGGCCUUUGGGUCGUAAAGCUCUUUUCUAAGGGAAGAUAGUGACGGUACCUUAGGAAUAAGCGCCGGCUAACUCCGUGCCAGCAGCCGCGGUAAUACGGAGGGCGCGAGCGUUGUUCGGAUUUACUGGGCGUAAAGGGCGCGUAGGCGGCCUGGCAAGUUAAGGGUGAAAUCCCGGGGCUUAACCCCGGAACUGCUCUUAAAACUGCCAAGCUAGAGAUGGUCAGAGGCGGGUGGAAUUCCAGGUGUAGAGGUGAAAUUCGUAGAUAUCUGGAGGAACACCGGUGGCGAAGGCGGCCCGCUGGGGCCAUUCUGACGCUGAGGCGCGAAAGCGUGGGGAGCGAACGGGAUUAGAUACCCCCGUAGUC